RNAcentral lists this ribosomal RNA (506 nucleotides) under uncultured bacterium. RNAcentral describes it as "bacterial SSU rRNA". It matches the Rfam family "Bacterial small subunit ribosomal RNA", at positions 10 to 507 of the family's 1533-position model. The record is from RNAcentral.
AGUUUGAUCAUGGCUCAGAUUGAACGCUGGCGGCAUGCCUUACACAUGCGAGUCGAACGGCAGCACGGGAGCUUGCUCCUGGUGGCGAGUGGCGAACGGGUGAGUAAUGCAUCGGAACGUGCCCUGAAGUGGGGGAUAACGUAGCGAAAGUUACGCUAAUACCGCAUAUUCUGUGAGCAGGAAAGCAGGGGAUCUUCGGACCUUGCGCUUUUGGAGCGGCCGAUGUCGGAUUAGCUAGUUGGUGGGUAAAGGCCCACCAAGGCGACGAUCCGUAGCGGGUCUGAGAGGAUGAUCCGCCACACUGGAACUGAGACACGGUCCAGACUCCUACGGGAGGCAGCAGGUGGGUAAUUUGGACAAUGGGCGCAAGCCUGAUCCAGCCAUGCCGCGUGAGUGAAGAAGGCCGUUCGGGUUAGUAAAGCUUCUUUCGGUGGGGAAGAAAUUGCUUGGGUUAAUACCCUGAGUAGAUGACGGUACCCGCAUAAGAAGCACCGGCUAACUACGUG